Etheostoma cragini (Arkansas darter) is the source of this 156-nucleotide long non-coding RNA. RefSeq lists it as uncharacterized. NCBI's taxonomy places the organism in Eukaryota, Metazoa, Chordata, Actinopteri, Perciformes, Percidae. The record is from RefSeq and is a predicted model, not a curated record. The transcript has 3 exons.
AAUGUAAUAACUAGCCAAAAUACAGCUAGUGCAAAUUGUGGUCUGGUUAGUGAUGUAGAUGAGUAAUAACACAAUAUAUAUGAAUACACAGUCUAUAUGAAAGCUGAAAUUUAGUAAAGAGUCAGUAUACAGUUAGUGCAAUUUAAAGUAACAAAU